This 425-nucleotide ribosomal RNA is filed under the name uncultured bacterium. RNAcentral's name for it is "partial 16S ribosomal RNA". It matches the Rfam family "Bacterial small subunit ribosomal RNA", at positions 354 to 796 of the family's 1533-position model. The record is from RNAcentral.
GUGGGGAAUCUUAGACAAUGGGGGAAACCCUGAUCUAGCCAUGCCGCGUGAUCGAUGAAGGCCUUAGGGUUGUAAAGAUCUUUCGCUGGGGAAGAUAAUGACUGUACCCAGUAAAGAAGCCCCGGCUAACUCCGUGCCAGCAGCCGCGGUAAUACGGAGGGGGCUAGCGUUAUUCGGAAUUACUGGGCGUAAAGCGCACGUAGGCGGACUGGAAAGUUGGGGGUGAAAUCCCGGGGCUCAACCUCGGAACUGCCUUCAAAACUCCCAGUCUUGAGUUCGAGAGAGGUGAGUGGAAUUCCGAGUGUAGAGGUGAAAUUCGUAGAUAUUCGGAGGAACACCAGUGGCGAAGGCGGCUCACUGGCUCGAUACUGACGCUGAGGUGCGAAAGCGUGGGGAGCAAACAGGAUUAGAUACCCGUGUAGUCC